GAUGAAGAACGUAGCGAAAUGCGAUAAGUAAUGUGAAUUGCAGAAUUCAGUGAAUCAUCGAAUCUUUGAACGCACAUUGCGCCCGCCAGUAUUCUGGCGGGCAUGCCUGUUCGAGCGUCAUUUCAACCAUCAAGCCCUGCUUGCGUUGGGGUCCUGCGGCUGCCCGCAGGCCCUGAAAACCAGUGGCGGGCUCGCUAGUCACACCGAGCGCAGUAAUACAUCUCGCUUUGGGCGUGCGGCGGGUUCUUGCCGUAAAACAACCCCCCCUUUUCACCAAGGUUGACCUCGGAUCAGGUAGGAAUACCCGCUGAACUUAAGCAUAUCAAUAAGCGGAGGA
This 337-nucleotide unclassified non-coding RNA is filed under the name soil metagenome. RNAcentral's name for it is "partial contains 5.8S ribosomal RNA, internal transcribed spacer 2, and large subunit ribosomal RNA". The stretch from base 1 to 120 matches the Rfam family "5.8S ribosomal RNA", at positions 35 to 154 of the family's 154-position model. The record is from RNAcentral.